Molecule: unclassified non-coding RNA, 605 nt
Filed under: Hevea brasiliensis (rubber tree)
Lineage: Eukaryota; Viridiplantae; Streptophyta; Magnoliopsida; Malpighiales; Euphorbiaceae
Source: RNAcentral
AGAAAUGAAUUGAGUAAAUCAAUGGCUUAUCGUUUUGAAUUUCUGGUUGUCGCUAAUUAAACAUGGAAUGAAAGAAACGGUUUUGAAUUUGCUUUGAUGUCAGAAAUGAAUCGAGUAAAUCAUUAGCUUGCUUAUAAGGCCAUCCAAAUGAAAUGGUUAAUUCAUUGGAUGGCCUUACAAGUUAACCACAGGGCAUAAUUUGCCUGUGGGAAAUGUUGCACAUUUUAUUUCAGUUUCUGAGUAUUCAUUGCAAUUUGUUGAAAAAGUUAAAAAUGAAACCCUGGAAGCUGGAACUCAACUACAAUGCUUUAAUAUAUUAUGCAACCUUAUAAAACAGGCUAGUGUCUCUGAACUAUGAAUUUAGCCAUCCUUUUUCCUUUUACUUAGCUUUGGAAAGAGGUUUAGUAAUCUAGUGAUUAUAAGAAGCUGGUAUUUGGAUCCAAAUUUUAUAUAAGAACUCCCAAAAUUAAGUGUAUUUACCUGAGAGCAGUUUUUGUGGAUGUCCAAAAGGAAAUAUUUUGAGGUUUGGGCAAGGAGGGGAUGAGAAUGAGAAUUAGCAUCAGGAUUCAUUUGGUGGGGAAAGUGAAAGAGAAUUAUUUUAAUAU